This 68-nucleotide transfer RNA is filed under the name Caiman crocodilus (spectacled caiman). Its description in RNAcentral is "transfer RNA-Val". The record is from RNAcentral. Lineage: Eukaryota; Metazoa; Chordata; Crocodylia; Alligatoridae.
CAAGAUGUAGCUUAAACACAGAGCAUUCAGCCUACACCUGAAAAAUAUCCACAACUGGAUCACCUUGA